This 496-nucleotide ribosomal RNA is filed under the name uncultured bacterium. RNAcentral describes it as "partial 16S ribosomal RNA". It matches the Rfam family "Bacterial small subunit ribosomal RNA", at positions 28 to 507 of the family's 1533-position model. The record is from RNAcentral.
GAUGAACGCUGGCGGCGUGCCUAAUACAUGCAAGUCGAGCGAACAGACGAGGAGCUUGCUCCUCUGACGUUAGCGGCGGGCGGGUGAGUACACGUGGAUAACCUACCUAUAAGACUGGGAUAACUUCGGGAAACCGGAGCUAAUACCGGAUAAUAUAUUGAACCGCAUGGUUCAAUAGUGAAAGACGGUUUUGCUGUCACUUAUAGAUGGAUCCGCGCCGCAUUAGCUAGUUGGUAAGGUAACGGCUUACCAAGGCAACGAUGCGUAGCCGACCUGAGAGGGUGAUCGGCCACACUGGAACUGAGACACGGUCCAGACUCCUACGGGAGGCAGCAGUAGGGAAUCUUCCGCAAUGGGCGAAAGCCUGACGGAGCAACGCCGCGUGAGUGAUGAAGGUCUUCGGAUCGUAAAACUCUGUUAUUAGGGAAGAACAAAUGUGUAAGUAACUAUGCACGUCUUGACGGUACCUAAUCAGAAAGCCACGGCUAACUACGUG